RNAcentral lists this ribosomal RNA (577 nucleotides) under Tetrapisispora iriomotensis. Its description in RNAcentral is "eukaryotic LSU rRNA". It matches the Rfam family "Eukaryotic large subunit ribosomal RNA", at positions 62 to 648 of the family's 3401-position model. Lineage: Eukaryota; Fungi; Ascomycota; Saccharomycetes; Saccharomycetales; Saccharomycetaceae. The record is from RNAcentral.
AAACCAACCGGGAUUGCCUUAGUAACGGCGAGUGAAGCGGCAAGAGCUCAAAUUUGAAAUCUGGUACCUUUGGUGCCCGAGUUGUAAUUUGUAGAGCAGUACUUUUGUUAUGGGCUUUGCCUAUGUUCCUUGGAACAGGACGUCAUGGAGGGUGAUAAUCCCGUAUGGCGAGGUGACCGUAGCUAUGUGAGUAUUGUUCGACGAGUCGAGUUGUUUGGGAAUGCAGCUCUAAGUGGGUGGUAUACUCCAUCUAAAGCUAAAUAUCAGCGAGAGACCGAUAGCGAACAAGUACAGUGAUGGAAAGAUGAAAAGAACUUUGAAAAGAGAGUGAAAAAGUACGUGAAAUUGUUGAAAGGGAAGGGCAUUUGAUCAGACAUGGUAGGUAGUGCCCUGUGCUCCUUGUGGGUGCGGGAAUUUCGCUGCUUACUGGGCCAGCAUGAGUUUUGGGGCCUCGACAAAGACGCUGUAAUGUAGCUUUGCACAUUGUGUUUAGUGUUAUAGACAGUGUUAAUGGGGGCACCUGGGACUGAGGUCUGCGACUUUUGUCAAGGAUGCUGGCAUAAUGGUUAAAUGCCGC